AUGUCAGCAGGAAACCAUUCCUCAGUGACUGAGUUCAUUCUGGCUGGGCUCUCAGAACAGCCAGAGCUCCAGCUGCGCCUCUUCCUCCUGUUCUUAGGAAUCUAUGUGGUCACAGUGGUGGGCAACUUGAGCAUGAUCACACUGAUUGGGCUCAGUUCUCACCUGCAUACCCCCAUGUACUAUUUCCUCAGUGGUCUGUCCUUCAUUGAUCUCUGCCAUUCCACUAUCAUUACCCCCAAAAUGCUGGUGAACUUUGUGACAGAGAAGAACAUCAUCUCCUACCCUGAAUGCAUGACUCAGCUUUACUUCUUCCUCAUUUUUGCUAUUGCAGAGUGUCACAUGUUGGCUGUAACGGCAUAUGACCGCUAUGUUGCCAUCUGCAGCCCCUUGCUGUACAAUGUCAUCAUGUCCUAUCACCACUGCUUCUGGCUCACAGUGGGAGUUUACGUUUUAGGCAUCCUUGGAUCUACAAUUCACACCGGCUUUAUGUUGAGACUCUUUUUGUGCAAGACUAAUGUGAUUAACCAUUAUUUUUGUGAUCUCUUCCCUCUCUUGGGGCUCUCCUGCUCCAGCACCUACAUCAAUGAAUUACUGGUUCUGGUCUUGAGUGCAUUUAACAUCCUGACGCCUGCCUUAACCAUCCUUGCUUCUUACAUCUUUAUCAUUGCCAGCAUCCUCCGCAUUCGCUCCACUGAGGGCAGGUCCAAAGCCUUCAGCACUUGCAGCUCCCACAUCUUGGCUGUUGCUGUUUUCUUUGGGUCUGCAGCAUUCAUGUACCUGCAGCCAUCAUCUGUCAGCUCCAUGGACCAGAGGAAAGUGUCCUCUGUGUUUUAUACUACUAUUGUGCCCAUGCUGAACCCCCAAUCUAUAGCCUAA
Homo sapiens (human) is the source of this 876-nucleotide RNA transcript. It is a transcript of the gene named olfactory receptor family 8 subfamily G member 2 pseudogene, with no coding region annotated. NCBI's taxonomy places the organism in Eukaryota, Metazoa, Chordata, Mammalia, Primates, Hominidae. The transcript has a single exon. The record is from RefSeq and is marked validated.